UGAGUACGAGAUGCUACGGCAUUGAAGCAGUGUAUGUCAGACUCCCAAGAAAAGCUCGCAAUGUCAUAAAUAAAUAAUGCCUGUACCAUAACCGACACAGGUGGGUAGGUAGAGUAUACUAAGGGGCGCGAGAUAACUCUCUCUAAGGAACUCGGCAAAAUGACUCCGUAACUUCGGGAGAAGGAGUGCCUUAUUUAUAAGGUUGCAAUAACAAGAUCCAAGCAACUGUUUACCAAAAACACAGGUCUCCGCUAAGUCGUAAGACGAUGUAUGGGGGCUGACGCCUGCCCAGUGCCAGAAGGUUAAAGAAGUUGGUUAGCAUUAGCGAAGCUGAUAGCUGAAGCCCUGGUGAACGGCGGCCGUAACUAUAACGGUCCUAAGGUAGCGAAAUUCCUUGUCGGGUAAGUUCCGACCCGCACGAAAGGCGUAAUGAUUUGGAUACUGUCUCGGAGAGGGGCUCGGUGAAAUAGACUUGUCUGUGAAGAUGCGGACUACCUGCACCUGGACAGAAAGACCCUAUGAAGCUUUACUGUAACUUGAAAUUGAAAUUGGACUUUAUUUGCGCAGUAUAGGUGGGAGGCGUUGAGUUUAUUCUUGUGGGAAUUUAGGAGCCAUCAGUGAGAUACCACUCUGGUAAUGUUAGAUUUCUAACUUUGUAUCAUAAUCUGGUCAAAGAACAGUUUCGGGCGGGCAGUUUGACUGGGGCGGUCGCCUCCUAAAUGGUAACGGAGGCGUACAAAGGUUUCCUCUGAACGUGUAGAAAUCGUAUCUAGAGUGUAAAGGCAUAAGGAAGCUUGACUGUGAGACUUACAAGUCGAGCAGGGACGAAAGUCGGUCUUAGUGAUCUGACGGUGCUGAGUGGAAAGGCCGUCACUCAACGGAUAAAAGUUACUCUAAGGAUAACAGGCUGAUCUCCCCCAAGAGUUCACAUCGACGGGGAGGUUUGGCACCUCGAUGUCGGCUCAUCGCAUCCUGGGGCGGUAGUACGUCCCAAGGGUUGGGCUGUUCGCCCAUGAGAGCGGUACGCGAGCUGGGUUCAGAACGUCGUGAGACAGUUCGGUCCAUAUCCGGUGUAGGCGUUAGAAUAUUGAGAGGAGCCUUCUUUAGUACGAGAGGACCGAGAAGGACAUACCUCUGGUGUACCAGUUAUCGUGCCAACGGUAAACGCUGGGUAGCUAUGUAUGGAGAGGAUAACCGCUGAAAGCAUCUAAGUGGGAAGCCCACCUCAAGAUAAGUAUUCUCA
RNAcentral lists this ribosomal RNA (1243 nucleotides) under metagenome. RNAcentral's name for it is "bacterial LSU rRNA". It matches the Rfam family "Bacterial large subunit ribosomal RNA", at positions 1564 to 2816 of the family's 2925-position model. The record is from RNAcentral.